GAUGAACGCUGGCGGCGUGCCUUAGACAUGCAAGUCGAACGAAGCACUUAGGACUGAUCUCUUCGGAGUGAUGACCUUUGUGACUGAGUGGCGAACGGGUGAGUAACACGUGGGUGACCUACCCCGAAGUGGGGCAUAACAGGGAGAAAUCCCUACUAAUUCCCCAUGUGCUCCCGCCUUUCUGGGGU
RNAcentral lists this ribosomal RNA (188 nucleotides) under bacterium. Its description in RNAcentral is "partial 16S rRNA". It matches the Rfam family "Bacterial small subunit ribosomal RNA", at positions 28 to 196 of the family's 1533-position model. The record is from RNAcentral.